This 253-nucleotide ribosomal RNA is filed under the name uncultured bacterium. RNAcentral's name for it is "partial 16S ribosomal RNA". It matches the Rfam family "Bacterial small subunit ribosomal RNA", at positions 524 to 776 of the family's 1533-position model. The record is from RNAcentral.
GACGAACCGAGCGAACGUUGUUCGGAAUCACUGGGCUUAAAGGGCGCGUAGGCGGGCAUUCAAGUCUGUGGUGAAAUCCUCCAGCUCAACUGGAGAACUGCCAUGGAUACUGGGUGUCUCGAGGAAGAUAGGGGUAUGCGGAACGAUUGGUGGAGCGGUGAAAUGCGUUGAUAUCAAUCGGAACUCCGGUGGCGAAGGCGGCAUACUGGAUCUUAUCUGACGCUGAGGCGCGAAAGCUAGGGGAGCAAACGGG